GCAAAAUAACACCUUGAAUAUACCCAAUCUCAUCUGAUCUUGGAAGCUAAGCAGGGCUGAGCCUGGUUAAUACUUGGAUGGGAGACCAACUGGAACACUGGGUGCU
This 106-nucleotide ribosomal RNA is filed under the name Octodon degus (degu). The record is from RNAcentral. Lineage: Eukaryota; Metazoa; Chordata; Mammalia; Rodentia; Octodontidae.